RNAcentral lists this ribosomal RNA (602 nucleotides) under Cicindela (Rivacindela) sp. JP-12a. RNAcentral's name for it is "partial 16S ribosomal RNA". It matches the Rfam family "Bacterial large subunit ribosomal RNA", at positions 1844 to 2726 of the family's 2925-position model. Lineage: Eukaryota; Metazoa; Arthropoda; Insecta; Coleoptera; Carabidae. The record is from RNAcentral.
UUUAAGGUCUAACCUGCCCAAUGAGGAUUUAAAUGGCCGCAGUAUUUUGACUGUGCAAAGGUAGCAUAAUUAUUAGUUUUUUAAUUGAAAGCUUGUAUGAAGGGUUGGACGAAAUAAGAUCUGUCUUUAUUUAAAUUAAAAUAUAAUUUAACUUUUAAGUAAAAAGGCUUAAAUGUUUAUAAAAGACGAGAAGACCCUAUAGAUCUUUAUUUAGUUGAGAUUUUAAUAAUUUAGGAUUAUUUUAAUUUAAAGUUUUAAUUAAAUUUUAUUGGGGUAAUAUAAAGAUUAAAUAAAUUCUUUUUAUUUAUAACAUUGAUUUAUGAAUAUAUGAUCCAUUAAUAUUGAUUAUAAGAUUAAGUUACCUUAGGGAUAACAGCGUAAUUUUUUUGGAGAGCUCAUAUCGAUAAAAAAGUUUGCGACCUCGAUGUUGGAUUAAAAAUUAGCUUGGGUGCAGGAGCUCAAGAUUUUGGUCUGUUCGACCAUUAAAUUUUUACAUGAUCUGAGUUCAGACCGGCGUAAGCCAGGUCGGUUUCUAUCUUUAUUAAGAUAAAAUGUUUUAGUACGAAAGGACCAGGCAUUUAAUAUAAUUAUAUUUAUUUUUU